RNAcentral lists this ribosomal RNA (466 nucleotides) under uncultured bacterium. RNAcentral describes it as "partial 16S ribosomal RNA". It matches the Rfam family "Bacterial small subunit ribosomal RNA", at positions 28 to 507 of the family's 1533-position model. The record is from RNAcentral.
GAUGAACGCUGGCGGCGUGCUUAACACAUGCAAGUCGAACGGAAAGGCUCCUGCUUGCAGGGGUACUCGAGUGGCGAACGGGUGAGUAACACGUGGGUGAUCUGCCCUGCACUUCGGGAUAAGCUUGGGAAACUGGGUCUAAUACCGGAUAGGACGAUGGUUUGGAUGCCAUUGUGGAAAGUUUUUUCGGUGUGGGAUGAGCUCGCGGCCUAUCAGCUUGUUGGUGGGGUAAUGGCCUACCAAGGCGUCGACGGGUAGCCGGCCUGAGAGGGUGUACGGCCACAUUGGGACUGAGAUACGGCCCAGACUCCUACGGGAGGCAGCAGUGGGGAAUAUUGCACAAUGGGCGCAAGCCUGAUGCAGCGACGCCGCGUGGGGGAUGACGGCCUUCGGGUUGUAAACUCCUUUCGCUAGGGACGAAGCGCAAGUGACGGUACCUGGAGAAGAAGCACCGGCUAACUACGUG